This 292-nucleotide ribosomal RNA is filed under the name uncultured bacterium. Its description in RNAcentral is "partial 16S ribosomal RNA". It matches the Rfam family "Bacterial small subunit ribosomal RNA", at positions 773 to 1060 of the family's 1533-position model. The record is from RNAcentral.
GUGGAUUAGAUACCCUGGUAGUCCUAGCCGUAAACGGUGCACGUUUGCUGUAAAAGGAAUCGACCCCUUUUGUGGCGUAGCCAACGCGAUAAACGUGCCGCCUGGGAAGUACGGUCGCAAGAUUAAAACUCAAAGAAAUUGACGGGGGCCUGCACAAGCGGUGGAGUAUGUGGCUUAAUUCGAUGCAACGCGAAGAACCUUACCUGGCCUUGACAUGUAUCUAGUAGAAGGGUGAAAGCCUGACGAGAUAGCAAUAUCAGGAUACACAGGUGCUGCACGGCUGUCGUCAACU